This 440-nucleotide ribosomal RNA is filed under the name uncultured bacterium. Its description in RNAcentral is "partial 16S ribosomal RNA". It matches the Rfam family "Bacterial small subunit ribosomal RNA", at positions 338 to 795 of the family's 1533-position model. The record is from RNAcentral.
CCUACGGGCGACAGCAGUGGGGGAUAUUGCACAAUGGGGGAAACCCUGAUGCAGCGACGCCGCGUGAGUGAAGAAGUAUUUCGGUAUGUAAAGCUCUAUCAGCAGGGAAGAAAAUGACAGUACCUGACCAAGACGCCCCGGCUAACUACGUGCCAGCAGCCGCGGUCAUACGUAGGGGGCAGGCGUUAUCCGGAUUUACUGGGUGUAAAGGGAGCGUAGACGGUUAUGUAAGUCUGGAGUGAAAGCCCGGGGCCCAACCCCGGGACUGCUUUGGAAACUGUGGAACUGGAGUGCAGGAGGGGCAGGCGGAAUUCCUGGUGUAGCGGUGAAAUGCAUAGAUAUCAGGAAGAACACCGGCGGCGAAGGCGGCCUGCUGGACUGAAACUGACGUUGAGGCUCGAAAGCGUGGGGAGCAAACAGGAUUAGAUACCCGGGUAGUC